GAAUACUAAAAGAAAAAACUGAAUUCAAGUGAUUAGUACAAUUAUGUUAAAACUGGUAAAAGAUGUAAAAUAAUGGAAAAAGAAACUUUUAAAUGAUAUUUUUAUAUAAAAUUAAUUUAAUCAUACUGUUAAAUAUAUUUAAACCCUAAUACUAAAAUUGAAAAACAAAUCCGACCUGCCGGAUUUGAACCAGCGACCUAA
This 201-nucleotide long non-coding RNA is filed under the name Vigna radiata. RNAcentral describes it as "long non-coding RNA (VRAD_LNC017416)". Lineage: Eukaryota; Viridiplantae; Streptophyta; Magnoliopsida; Fabales; Fabaceae. The record is from RNAcentral.